UGCUGCUCCUGCUUCCGGCCAUCAAUCCAGGAGCCUCUGCUAGACUGGCGAGUGGGGCACCAGCCUUGGAGCCAGGGCAUGGCAAGGUCUGCACCGACCAAGUCAGCGCAGGAUAUUGUGGAGGACUACAUGGUUGUUACUAGCUAUGCAUGUGGAAAGGCAUCUUGGCUCCUGCGGUGUCGCUGCUGGCAACAUCUGUGAUUUAUAGUUGAAGUUGCUUGUAGUGUUGAGUGGUAGUCGAUCGUCCAUUUUCUGUAUUUUGGUUAGGUUGUAUUCUUGGUUAACUAAUCUGUGCUGUGAACGUCCAAGAAAAUAGUAUGUAUGCAUGCUCAAGGAUGCACUAGAUGGUAGAUCUGCAAGCCUAUGUAUGCAUGCUUGGCUAGCUGGUGCUGCAUAUUCUCAUGUAUUUGUAUCCAUAAUAAUACCUACUCGUUACAGAUAAUAUGUACUAGUAUGAGUGUGUAAACUCAAAUAUUAAGGUUGUGGUUAAAACCCUUCCAAGGCUGAUUGAAAGAUUUUGUCACCCUCA
Long non-coding RNA from Lolium rigidum, 529 nucleotides. RefSeq lists it as uncharacterized. The transcript has 2 exons. The record is from RefSeq and is a predicted model, not a curated record. NCBI's taxonomy places the organism in Eukaryota, Viridiplantae, Streptophyta, Magnoliopsida, Poales, Poaceae.